This 70-nucleotide transfer RNA is filed under the name Linepithema humile (Argentine ant). RNAcentral describes it as "tRNA-Asn". Lineage: Eukaryota; Metazoa; Arthropoda; Insecta; Hymenoptera; Formicidae. The record is from RNAcentral.
UUAACUAAAACCAAAAAAGAGGUAAAUUAUUGUUAAUAAUUUAAUUGAAUUUUAAUUAAUUCUAGUUAAA